AUUGAACGCUGGCGGCAUGCCUUACACAUGCAAGUCGAACGGUAACGGGCCUUCGGGUGCCGACGAGUGGCGAACGGGUGAGUAAUACAUCGGAACGUGCCCGAUCGUGGGGGAUAACGAGGCUAAAGCUUUGCUAAUACCGCAUACGAUCUACGGAUGAAAGCAGGGGACCGCAAGGCCUUGCGCGGGCGGAGCGGCCGAUGGCAGAUUAGGUAGUUGGUGGGAUAAAAGCUUACCAAGCCGACGAUCUGUAGCUGGUCUGAGAGGAUGAUCAGCCACACUGGGACUGAGACACGGCCCAGACUCCUACGGGAGGCAGCAGUGGGGAAUUUUGGACAAUGGGCGCAAGCCUGAUCCAGCCAUGCCGCGUGCAGGAUGAAGGCCUUCGGGUUGUAAACUGCUUUUGUACGGAACGAAAAGCCUUCUUUUAAUACAGGAGGGUCAUGACGGUACCGGAAGAAUAAGCACCGGCUAACUACGUG
Molecule: ribosomal RNA, 482 nt
Filed under: uncultured bacterium
Lineage: Bacteria
Description: partial 16S ribosomal RNA
Rfam family: Bacterial small subunit ribosomal RNA
Source: RNAcentral